AACGCACAUUGCGCCCUUUGGCAUUCCGAAGGGCAUGCCUGUUCGAGCGUCAUUAUCCUCCCUCAAACCCCCGGGUUUGGUGUUGGACCGCGUUGGGGGGUCUCCCCCAACUGGUCUCAAAGACAAUGACGGCGUCCGUGGGACCCUCUUCGCACUGAGCUUUCCGGAGCACGCGUCGAGUCGCAAGGUCUCGUGGGCCCGGUCCUCCUUUAUCUAUUUUUCAGGUUGACCUCGGAUCAGGUAGGAAUACCCGCUGAACUUAA
RNAcentral lists this unclassified non-coding RNA (263 nucleotides) under uncultured fungus. Its description in RNAcentral is "partial contains 5.8S ribosomal RNA, internal transcribed spacer 2, and large subunit ribosomal RNA". Lineage: Eukaryota; Fungi. The record is from RNAcentral.